RNAcentral lists this unclassified non-coding RNA (380 nucleotides) under uncultured Paenibacillaceae bacterium. RNAcentral describes it as "contains 16S-23S intergenic spacer region". The record is from RNAcentral. Lineage: Bacteria; Bacillati; Bacillota; Bacilli; Caryophanales; Paenibacillaceae.
UCCGGUUUGUCACCGGCAGUCAUCUUAGAGUGCCCACCUCACGUGCUGGCAACUAAGAUCAAGGGUUGCGCUCGUUGCGGGACUUAACCCAACAUCUCACGACACGAGCUGACGACAACCAUGCACCACCUGUCUCUUACGUCCCCGAAGGGCCUACCCUAUCUCUAGAGUAUUCGUAAGGAUGUCAAGACCUGGUAAGGUUCUUCGCGUUGCUUCGAAUUAAACCACAUACUCCACUGCUUGUGCGGGUCCCCGUCAAUUCCUUUGAGUUUCAGUCUUGCGACCGUACUCCCCAGGCGGAGUGCUUACUGUGUUUACUUCGGCACCAAGGGUAUCGAAACCCCUAACACCUAGCACUCAUCGUUUACGGCGUGGACUAC